AUGCCGGUUUCCUGCGCUCUCCGGCGCCGCGCGGGGGGCGGCGGCUGGGGGGCUCCGGGGCUCCGCGGGUCCAGGCGCGGGACGGAAGGGAAGGCGGGCAGCCGAGGGGGGCGCCCGGGGCGCGGCGCGGCGAGGUCGGCCCGCACACGCCCCUCUCCGGGCCCGCGGUGCGAGCGCACCCGGCGGAUCCCUCAGUGUCCCCCGCGCGGCGGCGGCUCGCGCGAUCCCGGGCUCGCUCACCUGGGCCAGCCCUGGGCGGCCCGGCACGUCGCAGAUCGGGGCGCGCCGCCCGGGGAGGGGGCGCCCGCGAAGGUCCCCGGUCCUCCGGCGGUGGGCUGGGCGGGGGAGCCCGCUGGCCGGCCCGGGGCUUGGCAGGGCGAUCCCGAGAAGGUUUGCAGGGCAGGUCUCGGAGAACAAAGGGCGGGGGGGAGGACCCGGCAUGUUUGCGGACUUGUUUGUGACUCAGUCCCUUUUUCACACGGCGUUUCAAAGGCAGAACUGCAAGCCUUGCCAGGAAGAGAAAGCACUUGGGGGCGGGGAGGCCCGGGCCCAUUUCUGUGCAGCCCUCGGGCUCGGCGCUGCCCCUCGGCGCCAGGCGCGCGCAGCGGCGUCUCAUUAGGGCCCCGGCCGCCGGCCGCUCUCCAGGAACUUCCCCGCGAGGGGCGAGAUUUACGACCUCCCCCCGCCCCCCCGGCGCUCGCCUCGCGCUGUCAGGCGGGCGCGCCGCCGCAUAAAAUGGAUCCGGGGCGGCGCGGCGGCGGCGGCGGGCGGCGGCGGCGGGCUCCCGGGCGGCGGGGCGGCGGUUCCCGAGGCUCCGCGCUGCGCCCGGGCGCACACGCGCGCACUGACCGCGGCGGCGCCCGGGCCACGCCGAGCCGCCUCUCCCUGCCCUCGCGCAACUGUCAGGCCGAGCGGGCUGGCGGAUAUUGGCUCCGCCACGCGCCGAGGCUCCUCCCCGAGCCUGGAUCUUUAUAUUUUGGGAGAAUUUCUUUGAACUCAGUUACCGAGCUCCGUGGAGGAGACAAGUUCCCGCCGCCGGUCGCCGGCCGGGGCGCGGCGCGGGGCUCGCCCACCGUCCCUGCAGCCGCGUGUGCCCGGCCGCCCUCCUCGCUUCCCUCGCGCACUUGGCCGGGGGGGAAAUGCCAAUGA
This 1149-nucleotide long non-coding RNA is filed under the name Canis lupus familiaris (dog). Its description in RNAcentral is "lncRNA (ENSCAFG00030016325.1)". The record is from RNAcentral. Lineage: Eukaryota; Metazoa; Chordata; Mammalia; Carnivora; Canidae.